AACGCUAGCUACAGGCUUAACACAUGCAAGUCGAGGGGCAGCAUCAUCAAAGCUUGCUUUGAUGGAUGGCGACCGGCGCACGGGUGAGUAACACGUAUCCAACCUGCCGACAACACUGGGAUAGCCUUUCGAAAGAAAGAUUAAUACCGGAUGGCAUAGUUUUCCCGCAUGGGAUAAUUAUUAAAGAAUUUCGGUUGUCGAUGGGGAUGCGUUCCAUUAGGCAGUUGGCGGGGUAACGGCCCACCAAACCUACGAUGGAUAGGGGUUCUGAGAGGAAGGUCCCCCACAUUGGAACUGAGACACGGUCCAAACUCCUACGGGAGGCAGCAGUGAGGAAUAUUGGUCAAUGGACGAGAGUCUGAACCAGCCAAGUAGCGUGAAGGAUGACUGCCCUAUGGGUUGUAAACUUCUUUUAUACGGGAAUAAAGUGAGCCACGUGUGGCUUUUUGUAUGUACCGUAUGAAUAAGGAUCGGCUAACUCCGUGCCAGCAGCCGCGGUAAUACGGAGGAUCCGAGCGUUAUCCGGAUUUAUUGGGUUUAAAGGGAGCGUAGGCGGGUUGUUAAGUCAGUUGUGAAAGUUUGCGGCUCAACCGUAAAAUUGCAGUUGAUACUGGCGACCUUGAGUGCAACAGAGGUAGGCGGAAUUCGUGGUGUAGCGGUGAAAUGCUUAGAUAUCACGAAGAACUCCGAUUG
RNAcentral lists this ribosomal RNA (693 nucleotides) under uncultured Bacteroidales bacterium. Its description in RNAcentral is "bacterial SSU rRNA". It matches the Rfam family "Bacterial small subunit ribosomal RNA", at positions 32 to 715 of the family's 1533-position model. The record is from RNAcentral. Lineage: Bacteria; Pseudomonadati; Bacteroidota; Bacteroidia; Bacteroidales.